Oreochromis aureus is the source of this 1285-nucleotide long non-coding RNA. Lineage: Eukaryota; Metazoa; Chordata; Actinopteri; Cichliformes; Cichlidae. The record is from Ensembl.
AUCUGAACAGGAUCUGCAAAAUGGGAGCUGCUGAAAAAUGAUUUGCAAAGAGUUGCAAAAUACCUCAAGGUCCCUUCCUGCUGUCCUAGUGAGCAUAAUCUGCUCUGAAGUAGUUACACCUGUGGUCACUUAAUCAACGAGAUGAAGGGUAAACUUUUAAAAGAUUUUCAAGAGCUCAGUUUCUUUUGCUAGUUUCCUGGUUUGGUAGCAGCUGAUAGCAGUAGCUGCUGGGUUUGUGGGUUCUUGCUGCUGAAGCCAUGAGGUUUUUAUUAAGAUGGCUGUUGUUGUUACUACUAACUGUUGGAAGUCAUCAAGCAAACGAUUCAAGUAGUCGUUACCUCAGGGGGAAUGCUUCAUGGCGCAGUGAAUCACUUGCUACUCAUACUUUAACCUUGAAUGCAAAGGUAGCAAAGUCCGGUUUGCAGUCACGGGUCCCCCGGCAGCAGCAUCAACCUCAGGCACCCAUUCAGCGUAUAUGCCGGCUCAGCUCAAAGACUUUAUGCCUUCCUAAGAAGCCCCAGCAGUUCACCAGUCCACUCCAGCUGCCCAGACAGCAGGUUGACUCCCUAUCUUGGGGAACCCAGCCAAAGUGGAAGCCUUCCUGCCUGCCCAAGCACUUCUGCCAAUCCAAGGAGCCUCGGGUGUCCCAUCAGCCUGGUUCUCCACUCAGGCUGCCUGGUUUCCUGUCCCAGUGGCCCCAGUGGCCUGACCGUCCACUUUACCAGCUCCAGAGACCCCACUAUCCGGCCAAGUGGCCACUAUACUCACUCCAGAUGCCUCAGUACCAUGCAAAAUGGCCACACUUCCUGCCUUACUACCAGUCCAAGAGUCCACACUACAUGACUGUGUUGCCUAUCUACAGGGGGAAAGUUAUUGGUCUACCCAGCAAAGCAACUUCAGUAUCCCCAGCAGGUCAGUUACUUCUAGAAAGUUCAAGUUCAGUCCAAUUUCUGCUCAACCUUCAUAUGGGUAAGCUCUCAUUACUGGCUGAGUAACAGGAGUGAAUUUUGAGUGGGAUUUAUUUCUUUCAGGCACAGAAGGUGGUGCUAAUGUAAUAGCCACACAAAGGGACCAAUGGGCAUGGUAUGUAGGAAAACGAUUAAUGAGAUAACUGGUUUUCAAUGGCCUUUAUUCAUGAAUGCUUUCUGUUAGGCACAGCAAUGUUGAGCCUUCUGAAUCAUUGUACUGACCUUUCCAAUUAAAAUAACUUUCAUCUUGACUCUGUAAGCAUUAAUUGAAUGAUUUGGUAAUAAAGUUUGAUAAGGUGUGUGUAUGAUGCCAACAC